CUCCAUUGCCUCCGGGGCCGCGAGUCUGAGCUCCAGGCCCGGAACACCCCUCCCCCACCCCAGACUCCGGCUCUAAAUUUGCUUUCUCCCGGUCCCUCUGUUCCUUGAAAGUCCGCGAUUCUCCUUCCAAACUGCCCUUGGAUCCAGAGACCCAGAUCCGAACACAUCGCUCAAAGACGACAAUGCUCCGAUCUAGUUCGGGAGACUACGUAUCCUAAUUCUGAUACUUCCUCCCACUUCUCCUAGUCUCCUGACUUUCAAACGCCCCUGGACUUCACCUCCAAACUCGCUGUCCGGCUCCAAGACCCGAACAUUGAACUCUUCCCGGCAACCUCCUUCCCCCGCCAGUGCGUCUUGGAGUCCCAAGAAUCCUUGACCCUAGUUCUCUCGCUUCUCCAAAUACUCAGAAUCUCAGCUCCGUACCUCUCACACCUUUUCCAGAACACGAUAAAGCCCCGAAUUCAACCCGUCCGGAAGACCCAAGUGGAAUCGAAUCUCCAGGUUCCCUGUCUCAAAAGUUCCUCCCCUCUGUUCUCUCGCUUCUCCAAAAGCCCAACGUCCCAGCUUCAAACUCCCUCCACUUGAAAAUACUGCCCCAACAACCUCGCCUCCCCUCCUGGGUCUUGAACUCAGUCUCAGGUCCCCAGACCCUCCCUAUCAUCACCCUGAAUCUGAGGCCCCCUCCCCCGGUCCCACCCAGACCCCGCCUCCGCAAGUCCCCGGGGCGCGCUUCUCUCUCCCCCAGCCUAAGGUAAAUUCCCAAGCCAGGCGACCACUCCUCACCGCAGCUGCCAGGUUCGCCACGACCACCUCCUGGAACGCCCACAGCGUUGCGACCCGCCAGUGCCAGGACCCACCAGUGACCGGUUGGAGCCUCGCUCACCUCGGCGGGGCCUCUCCGUCUGGCCUCUGGCCCACCAGCCCCGCCCCGGAGCCGAGCCGCGAGCCGCGAUUGGCUGGAGUCCCGCCCGCCGCGGGGCGUCGAUUGGCUGGGCGGAGCCAUCCGCCCGUGCCCCGAGACGCCGGAUCCGCCCACCCCUCCCUAGCGCCCCGGGCCAUUUAAAGAAGUGCAACUGGCAGGGGGCGGGGCAGCGACUCCGGGGUGGAGGGCGGCCGGUCCAACAGAACCGCUUCCUUCCACUCAGCUACAGUCCUCGCUCCAAGAUCGUCACCAUUGCUCCCUGCGGUUCCUUUAUGGUAGGCCUGGACUCCACCGUGGAGCCAGAGGGGCUGGCAUGCCCCUCCCCAAGUCGCUGUGCAGGCGGGCGGGGCCGAGCAACCGGAGGAGGCCGCGCCCCCGGGGUUCCGAGGGAGGACGCUGGGGCGCGGGGGAUGACGUAGCGGAAGACCAGCCAAUAGAGUGGCGCGGCCCGCGUUGCCUAGGCGAUCGUAGCCUCGCCCCCUUGCUGCCCCUCCCGCCCCCUAUACGUUACCGCGCGGCCCCUUCUUAAUCCUCAGGUUUUCUCAGCACGUCCUCUGGUGGUCCCACCUGGGUCUUCUGACACCCUCUUUCCUUCCCCGCUCCAUCAAGAUGACUCCUCUGCUACUGUUCAUGGCUUCCUACCCACCCCGAAUACAAACUUCAAACUCCUUCCUUUUGCCACAAAGCCCCUCACGACCUUGCUUGAUGCGUUCUCCUGGUUCUCUCCGAUCCUGCCCCAUUGAGUCACUUCCAGUUUUUCUAAAAUGGCUUCAAGCUCCCAUUCACCCCAUCAGGAAAACGAAAGGAUUUUCUCUGUUUGUUUUCUUCCCUGCUUUACCCCAGUGUCUACAACAAUGCCAGGUACAUAAU
This 1792-nucleotide long non-coding RNA is filed under the name Homo sapiens (human). RNAcentral describes it as "non-protein coding lnc-SPTBN4-3:3". Lineage: Eukaryota; Metazoa; Chordata; Mammalia; Primates; Hominidae. The record is from RNAcentral.